Molecule: transfer RNA, 61 nt
Filed under: Prymnesium neolepis
Lineage: Eukaryota; Haptophyta; Prymnesiales; Prymnesiaceae
Rfam family: tRNA
About the family: Transfer RNA (tRNA) molecules are approximately 80 nucleotides in length.
Source: RNAcentral
ACGUAGCUCAGUGGUAGAGCACUACCUUGACAUGGUAGGGGUCGGCAGUUCAAACCUGCCC